Cladorrhinum sp. PSN332 is the source of this 130-nucleotide non-coding RNA. Lineage: Eukaryota; Fungi; Ascomycota; Sordariomycetes; Sordariales; Podosporaceae. The record is from the annotation of a GenBank genome assembly.
GGGAGCUUGGCUCAGUUGGAAGAGCGCAGGUCUCAUAUAUACAUAUAUAUAUAUAUAUAUAUAUACGAUAUGAUCCAGUUUGACAUUGGAAGUAAUCCUGAGGUCGUGAGUUCGAGACUCACAGUUCCCA